UACGUAGGGCGCAAGCGUUGUCCGGAAUUAUUGGGCGUAAAGAGCUCGUAGGCGGCUUGUCACGUCGGGUGUGAAAGCCCGGGGCUUAACCCCGGGUCUGCAUCCGAUACGGGCAGGCUAGAGUGUGGUAGGGGAGAUCGGAAUUCCUGGUGUAGCGGUGAAAAUGCGCAGAUAUCAGGAGGAACACCGGUGGCGAAGGCGGAUCUCUGGGCCAUUACUGACGCUGAGGAGCGAAAGCGUGGGGAGCGAACAGG
This 254-nucleotide ribosomal RNA is filed under the name uncultured bacterium. RNAcentral's name for it is "partial 16S ribosomal RNA". It matches the Rfam family "Bacterial small subunit ribosomal RNA", at positions 524 to 776 of the family's 1533-position model. The record is from RNAcentral.